RNAcentral lists this ribosomal RNA (253 nucleotides) under uncultured bacterium. RNAcentral describes it as "partial 16S ribosomal RNA". It matches the Rfam family "Bacterial small subunit ribosomal RNA", at positions 524 to 776 of the family's 1533-position model. The record is from RNAcentral.
UACGUAGGUGGCAAGCGUUGUCCGGAAUUAUUGGGCGUAAAGCGCGCGCAGGCGGUCCUUUAAGUCUGAUGUGAAAGCCCACGGCUCAACCGUGGAGGGUCAUUGGAAACUGGGGGACUUGAGUACAGAAGAGAAGAGUGGAAUUCCACGUGUAGCGGUGAAAUGCGUAGAGAUGUGGAGGAACACCAGUGGCGAAGGCGGCUCUUUGGUCUGUAACUGACGCUGAGGCGCGAAAGCGUGGGGAGCAAACAGG